Molecule: transfer RNA, 69 nt
Filed under: Brevundimonas halotolerans
Lineage: Bacteria; Pseudomonadati; Pseudomonadota; Alphaproteobacteria; Caulobacterales; Caulobacteraceae
Also listed under: 4 other names
Rfam family: tRNA
About the family: Transfer RNA (tRNA) molecules are approximately 80 nucleotides in length. Their secondary structure includes four short double-helical elements and three loops (D, anti-codon, and T loops). Further hydrogen bonds mediate the characteristic L-shaped molecular structure. tRNAs have two regions of fundamental functional importance: the anti-codon, which is responsible for specific mRNA codon recognition, and the 3' end, to which the tRNAs corresponding amino acid is attached (by aminoacyl-tRNA synthetases). tRNAs cope with the degeneracy of the genetic code in two manners: having more than one tRNA (with a specific anti-codon) for a particular amino acid; and 'wobble' base-pairing, i.e. permitting non-standard base-pairing at the 3rd anti-codon position.
Source: RNAcentral
CGGUUUAGCUCAGCUGGUAGAGCAGCGGUUUUGUAAACCGAAGGUCGCGGGUUCGAUUCCUGCAACCGG